AAAGUUUGGGAUUCCCAGUCUACAAAACCCCACAGCUCCUAGGAAUUCUCUCACCACCCUUGUGCCUUUAGGCUUCGGUAGAUUGCAAAUGACCUGCUUUCUUUCGGAUCCCGGGCUGCUUUCGGACACCUGUCGAAUAGUAAAUCCCAAGUAAGGUACCUGCGGUCGUCGGCAGAUCUGAAUUUUCUUCUUGGACACCUAAUACCCACAGUCCUCCAGAGACCGAGAGGUUGAUGUCACUCCCAAUAUCGGAGGAAGUAUACACCCCCGUGUGAGAUGGUCCUUAAUAAUAUUCCACGGCGGAGGGGGUGAUAUGACUACAUACAUGGCAGAAAGUGGAAACCUCCCAGGGAUAUUGUUCCCACGAUCCUGGAGGGAAGAAGAUGAUGUUACUUUCAAUAUGACAGAAGGUGGAUGAAGUGGUGGACUGCCCCUCCACACCUGUGGACACGCCCCCACUGAUAUUCCUUCUAAUUGCAGCGUGGGAGAGGAGGAUAUGACACGCGAUAUCGCAGGGAGUAGAAACACCCCUGUGAUACUGUUCUUAAUAUUCAGGGAGGAAGAGGAUGAUAUUACUCCCAAUACAGACGGGUGUACACCCUCUGUACACCGAGGGUGUACACCUGUCUGUGAAAGAGUUCGUAAUCUCCAGAGGGGGAGAUGAUAUUACUCACAAUAUGGUAAAGAGGCUGUGAGUCCACGGAGGAUCCUCAGAGCCAGCGGGGGAAGAGGGGCUGGCUCUCAGUCCCCGCCUCGCGGGGGUGACUCCCCCCAGUGCGAUGGGGGUCCUAAGAGCCAGUGGGGGAAGAGGGGCUGGCUCUGAGACCCCGCCUCGCGGGGGGUGCCUCCCCGCCCUGUGAUGGGGGUCCGAAGAGCCAGAAGGCUUAGAGGGGCUGGCUCUCAGUCCCCGCCUCGCGGGGGGUGCCUCCUCCCCCUGCGAUGGGGGUCGUAAGAGCCACUGGGGGAAUAGGGGCUUGCUCUCAGUCACCGCCUCGCGGGGGGUGCCUCCUUUCCUUUCUACAUAGACACAGUGACAGUCUGAUCUCUCUUUCUUUUCCCUACAGAUGGACACGCCCCCACUGAUAUUGUUUUUAAUGCAGCGUGGGAGGGGAGGAUAUGACACGCGAUAUCGCAGGUAGUAGAAACACCCCUUUGAUAGUGUUCUUAAUAUUCAGGGAGGAAGAAGAUGAUGUUACUCCCAAUACAGACGGAUGUACACCCUCUGUACACCGAGGGUGUACACCCGUCUGUGAAGGAGUUCGUAAUCUCCAGAGGUGGAGAUGAUAUUACUCACAAUAUGGUAAACAGGCUGUGAGUCCAUCGCGGAUCCUCAGAGCCAGGUGGGGAAGAGGGGCUGGCUGUCAGUCCCCUCCUCGCGGGGGGUGCCUCCCCCACUGCUAUGGGGAUCCCAAGAGCCAGUGGGGGAAGAGGUGCUGGCUCUCAGUCUCCGCCUCGCGAGGUGCCUCCCCACCCUGCGAUCGGGGUCCGAAGAGCCAGGGGGGAAGAGGGGCUGGCUCUCUUCGUGGAUGAUUCUUUUUCCAUUCUCAGGCAGUUUUCUUUUUUCUUUCUUUCUUUUUUUUUUUUUUUGAGACUGAGUCUUGCUCUGUUGCCCAUGCUUUGCUCGAUCUCGGGUGACUGCAACCACUGCCUCCCAGGUUCAAGAGAUUCUCCUGCCUCAGCCUCCUGAGUAGCUGGGACUAGAGGCGUGUGUCACCACACCCAGCUAAUUUUUGUAUUUUUAGUAGAGAUGGGGUUUCACCAUGUUUGCCAGGAUGGUCUCUAUCUCCUGCCCUUGUGAUCCACCCACCUCAGCCUCCCAAAGUGCUGGGAUUGCAGGUGCGAGCCACCGGGUCCAGCCUCUCAGGCGAUUUUCAUACCUGCAUACUCUGGUCACUACUCUGUUAAACAGUCAAGGAGGGUAAGUAUUAUCUUCAGAUUUCCAGAGCUCUGUCUCUGUACAGCCCUCUCCUCCUCAAUAUUCUGCCCUAUGAAUUCUAGCCACAUUGGCCUUCCCAGGCUCACAGUUCUGUCUUCUCAACUCAGGAAGAUCUCUGAGUUCCAUCUGCAUUCUUUCUUCCUGUGCUGUGGCCUGGAAAGUUUUCUAAGGUGUUAGGGAGGUCAAUUGUGGGGCUAGCCUCAUUUGUUUCUCAUCUCUUGAGGAUCACUGCCCUUUGAUGCUUGAUUCCAGUGAUUGAUUCCCUUUGUUGCUUGAGGGCCAUAGUUUCAUAUAUUUUGUCCAGUAGUUUUGUUGUUUUAGGUCAGAAAGUAAUUUUGGUCUCUGUUACUCUAUCUUGGCCAGAAGUGUAAGACCUAAGCAUUUACACAUCAAAAUACUGCACACAUAAUUUUAGUUUAAGCUACUUUUUAAAAAAUCUCCUUCAUUUUCCAUUUAGCAUUCUAUUUAGGGUAUUACAUUGGUUUUUUUGAAAUUCUGUUAUUGGCAGUUUCUAUUGCCUAUCAAUCCCAUUUAAAGAUAGUGCAUAGGGUAUUCUAAAAUAGCUGUUAAGCAAAGAGAAAAUUGGGCCUGAUAGGGUGAGAAUCACAGCUCUAAUACCUAGAGUGACCUUAUAAUGUAUUGUCCAAAGGAGAUAUUUUUGACAGUGAAAGAGGGUGUUGUUAGUAAUUAUAUCAGGACCAUGGCCUAAACCAGGACUAUCCCAGGAAGCCUGGGACAUAUUUGUACCCCAUCUCUAUUUAAUGCCUUUAUACAAUUCUUUACUUAAUUCUACCAGCCUUUAUUGAGCCUGCUUUCUUUGUCUAGCUGAGUGCCACGUGCUGACGUCACUAAGAUCAAUACAGCAAACUCUGAAAGAUGGACAGAGAGACAGGAGAUGGUCCUUUAUAAUGCAGUGUGAUCUGUGCUGCAAUAGAGUUUUGGAAGCUAGAAGUUCAAAACGAGGUGUUGGCAGCACCAUGCUCUCUCUGAAGAUGCUAGGAAGAAUCUGCUCCAUGCCUUUCCAUUCGCUUCUGGGGUUUCCUGCAAGCCCUGACAUUCCUUGGCUUGUAGAUGCAUCACCCCAGUUUCCGCCCCCAUCAUCACAUGGCCUCCUCUCUGUGUGUGCCUCUGCGUUCCCUCUAUUCUUCUUCUAAGGACACCGACACCAGUCAUAGUGGAUUAAGUGUCCACUCCUAACCAAUUACAUCUGCAACAACCCUAUUUCCAAAUAAAGUCACAUUCUAAGAUUCCUAGGGAGAACAUG
Molecule: long non-coding RNA, 3200 nt
Filed under: Homo sapiens (human)
Lineage: Eukaryota; Metazoa; Chordata; Mammalia; Primates; Hominidae
Description: long independently transcribed non-coding RNA 3025 (LINC03025)
Source: RNAcentral